RNAcentral lists this transfer RNA (68 nucleotides) under Ictidomys tridecemlineatus (thirteen-lined ground squirrel). RNAcentral's name for it is "Spermophilus tridecemlineatus (thirteen-lined ground squirrel) tRNA". It matches the Rfam family "tRNA". Rfam says of the family: Transfer RNA (tRNA) molecules are approximately 80 nucleotides in length. Their secondary structure includes four short double-helical elements and three loops (D, anti-codon, and T loops). Further hydrogen bonds mediate the characteristic L-shaped molecular structure. tRNAs have two regions of fundamental functional importance: the anti-codon, which is responsible for specific mRNA codon recognition, and the 3' end, to which the tRNAs corresponding amino acid is attached (by aminoacyl-tRNA synthetases). tRNAs cope with the degeneracy of the genetic code in two manners: having more than one tRNA (with a specific anti-codon) for a particular amino acid; and 'wobble' base-pairing, i.e. permitting non-standard base-pairing at the 3rd anti-codon position. The record is from Rfam by way of RNAcentral. Lineage: Eukaryota; Metazoa; Chordata; Mammalia; Rodentia; Sciuridae.
GGGGGUGUGGCUCAUUGUUAGAGUGCUUGCCUAGCAUGCAUGAGGUUCUGGGUUCAAUCCCACUCCCC